Molecule: long non-coding RNA, 444 nt
Filed under: Lepisosteus oculatus (spotted gar)
Lineage: Eukaryota; Metazoa; Chordata; Actinopteri; Semionotiformes; Lepisosteidae
Description: lncRNA (ENSLOCG00000021352.1)
Source: RNAcentral
UAAAUAAUUCAAUAAAAAGUAAACAGGAACUGAGAUUUUUCUGCCCUGUCCCUUAGAAUGGUCAGAAACUUUGAGUUUGAUCUUCAACCUGUGGAUCAGUGGAUACACAUCACGCCACAAUCAAAGAAGAUUUGUAAUUAAAUCUUCAACUGACUUCGGACAAGAGCUGCUCAGACCAGUGAGGCCCGCUGCUUGUGAGGCGAAUGAGGGGGUCUGAAUUCUUCUUUAUUGGUAACACUGGAGCUGAAGACAAAUAAGGAGAUUGAGACAUAAGCCAUGGCAUUAUUUCUUGGAGGUCAGAGAGUCGCUGUCAGACUUUUCAGGUGAAGACAGUAGUACUGUCAACAACGCAAUAUGGUCGGAGAAGCCGGAAGCAUGGAAGGUGAGGAAUUGACAUGUAUUUAUUUAACAAAGAACAAAACGGGAUGCAGUUUUCAUUUACCA